AUGACUCCCCUGACUGCUCCUCACCCCACGAGGCACCAUUUGGGAUCCACUCACUGUAUAGAAAUGACUCUUGUGUUCAAUGUUUUGUUCUUGUUUUUUUUUAUUGUCCAGGUCAACGUCAACAUGAGCAUCUACACAACGCCGUCCCCUGCGAAUCCCUCGUCAGCUGGGACGCCUUCGUUUCCAGAGCUUGUGACCAAGAUAGGUGCAGCAGCCACAGACCAUGGAGACUGGGCCGCCUUAAUUGGAGGUAUCGUCAGUGCAGUGUUGUUGGUAAUGAUUUGUACAAUAGCAGUGAUGCUGUGGUGCCUGUCCAGGCAAAAAGGCUCGUACGUCACCAACGAGAACGAGGAUGAUGAUGAUGAUAUUGACAACAAUGAUGAUGAGUCUGUCGCUUCUGAUGCGGCACUUCAAGCCAAAGAACCUCUCAAACUCAAAGGUCAAAGAUGCCACCUGCUGUUAGAAGUCAUUUUUACAUCGCAACAGGCUUCCUAUCAGGUCCAUUUAUUACAAACAGCUUGUUGA
RNAcentral lists this long non-coding RNA (525 nucleotides) under Betta splendens (Siamese fighting fish). RNAcentral describes it as "lncRNA (ENSBSLG00000010527.1)". Lineage: Eukaryota; Metazoa; Chordata; Actinopteri; Anabantiformes; Osphronemidae. The record is from RNAcentral.